This 213-nucleotide ribosomal RNA is filed under the name Clostridioides difficile. Its description in RNAcentral is "partial 16S ribosomal RNA". It matches the Rfam family "Bacterial small subunit ribosomal RNA", at positions 916 to 1126 of the family's 1533-position model. The record is from RNAcentral. Lineage: Bacteria; Bacillati; Bacillota; Clostridia; Peptostreptococcales; Peptostreptococcaceae.
GGGACCCGCACAAGUAGCGGAGCAUGUGGUUUAAUUCGAAGCAACGCGAAGAACCUUACCUAAGCUUGACAUCCCAAUGACAUCUCCUUAAUCGGAGAGUUCCCUUUGGGGACAUUGGUGACAGGUGGUGCAUGGUUGUCGUCAGCUCGUGUCGUGAGAUGUUGGGUUAAGUCCCGCAACGAGCGCAACCCUUGUCUUUAGUUGCCAUCAUUA